UACGUGGGGGGCAAGCGUUGUUCGGAAUUACUGGGCGUAAAGGGCUCGUAGGUGGCCAACUAAGUCAGACGUGAAAUCCCUCAGCUUAACUGGGGAACUGCGUCUGAUACUGGAUGGCUUGAGUUUGGGAGAGGGAUGCGGAAUUCCAGGUGUAGCGGUGAAAUGCGUAGAUAUCUGGAGGAACACCGGUGGCGAAGGCGGCUACCUGGCCCAACAUUGACGCUGAGACCCGAAAGCAUGGGGAUCAAACAGG
RNAcentral lists this ribosomal RNA (253 nucleotides) under uncultured bacterium. RNAcentral's name for it is "partial 16S ribosomal RNA". It matches the Rfam family "Bacterial small subunit ribosomal RNA", at positions 524 to 776 of the family's 1533-position model. The record is from RNAcentral.